AUCCUUAAGCUUCACACAAACAUAUUGGCGUUGUUAUUUAUUCUCUUUUUUUUCUCAUUAUUAUUUAUUUAUUUAUUUUUUUUUAGUUCGUGAUGUAACGGAAAUAAAUAAAAAUAAAAACAUAAAAAUAUUGAUUUGUUAUUAAUAAAAAUAGUGAGUUUACAAACUUGUGAAUUAUUCAAAGUGUAUUGAUUAAUAAUAUUAUUAUAUUUAUUAAUAAUUAUUUAACAAAAAUAUACAUUGUGUUUUUAAAAAUGACAACUGGACAAGAUCACUCAUUGACAAUACGUCAAGAAAUUCAACGUUUCGAAAGUGUACAUCCAUCAAUAUACGCAAUUUAUGAUUUAAUUGAUUUAAUAUCUGAUACAAAUAUAUCAAAACAAAUAAGAGAACAUGUUGUCGCCAUUGAAGAUUCAUUUGUAAAUAGUCAUGAAUGGACGUUAUCAAGAAAUGUACCAGAAUUACAUAUUGGUAUAAUUGGUUCAUGUGAUUCUGGUAAAUCAGCAUUGGUACAUAGAUAUUUAACUGGUUCAUUUAUGCAUGAAGAAUCACCAGAAGGUGGUAGAUUUAAAAAAGAAGUAUUUAUCAAUGAACAAAGUUAUUUAUUGUUAAUCAGAGAUGAGGGUGGUGUACCAGAACAACAGUUUACAUCAUGGAUCGAUGCAGUAUUGAUGGUUUUUUCGCUUGAAAAUGAAGAAAGUUUUUCAGUACUUUGUAAUUAUUACAAUAAAAUGUGUUUAUUUAGAAAUAUGUCUGAUGUGCCAAAAAUACUUGUUGGUGUUCAAGAUUCAAUAAAUGAUACAAAUCCUCGUGUUAUUAAAGACAUUCGUCCUCGUAAAUUAUCACUUGAUUUACGAUGUCCGUACUAUGAAACUUGUGCAAUAUACGGUUUAAAUGUUGAUCGUGUAUUUCAAGAUGUAUGUCAAAAAAUUAUUCAAAAAACAAAGCUAUGUUUAAAUGGUCAGCCUGAAAAAUUAGUUGAAACAAGAUAUUCAACAUUACCAGUUAUAACAAAAACUGGAAAUUUACAUUUAGCCAAAGAACAGGAUAAUCAUUCAAAAAUAAUACAACAUACUGAUAAAAAUGAUGAUUUUAUACGUUCAAAUAAUCAUGAUGAACCAACAUCAAAUGAUACAUCAUUUCAGUAUAUACAAAAUCCUCAAAAUGAACUUCGUGCAUCAAUAUUAACACCAACAACAAGUAGAAAAUUUCGUAGAAAGUCAAAUAUAUUUACACCAUCAAAAAAAGAAAAAUAUAAUAUGGGAGAAAUGGGAGUAGGAAGAGAAAUACCAGUUAAACAAGGUUAUUUAUUUAAACGUAGUAGUAAAUCAUUAAAAGAAAGAAAAAAAAAAUAUGUUACAUUAUUAGAAGAUGGUAGAUUAACAUAUCAUUCAAGUCUUCAUGAUUAUAUGAAUGAUACAAAUGGUAAAGAAAUACUUCUUCAAUAUGUUACUGUUAAAAUACCAGGUAAAACACCAAAAGGUUCAAAACCAACAAUAACAAAUGAUGAUAAUUUUGAAUUUUCAAUAAUAUCAUUAGAAAAUAAAAGUUGGAAUUUUGAAGCUAAUAAUUUAGAUGAUCGUGAUACAUGGAUAUCAGCAAUUGAACAACAAAUAUUAACAAGUUUACAAAAUAGUGAUGGUGGUGAUAAAAAAAAUGAAACAGAUGCAUUUAAAAUGCAUUGUAUUAAAAAUAAAGUAUGUGGUAAUGAUUUAUGUGCUGAUUGUGGUUCACCAAAUCCUGAUUGGGCUAGUUUAAAUAUUGGUAUAUUAGUUUGUAUUGAAUGUUCUGGUAUACAUAGAAAUUUAGGUUCUCAUAUAUCUAAAAUAAGAUCAUUAGAUUUGGAUGAUUGGUCAGCUGGACAAUUAAGUGUUAUGUUGGCAAUGGGUAAUGAUAUUGCAAAUGGUAUAUGGGAAUAUGAACUUAAUGGAAAAAUUAAACCAACAUCUGAAUCACUUAGAGAAAAAAAAGAAGAAUGGAUUAGAUGGAAAUAUGAAGACAGAGCAUUUCUACCACCAGCUAAUAGUAGUAUACCUAUUGGAAAAUUACUCAUUGAUUCUGUUUGUCGUGGUGAUAUGAGAGCUUUUACACUUUGUCUAGCAAGAUGUACAUAUGAAGAUAUUAAUAUUUCAGUAAGCAAUGAUGAUUUAAGAACACCAUUACAUCUAGCCUGUGCAACUGGUAAUCUAGCAAUGGCUCAACUACUAAUUUGGCACAAAGCAAAUCCACAAAAUCUUGAUCAUGAAGGACGUACUUGUAUGUCGUAUGUCAAGGCAUUGGAAAGAACACUUGACAAUACUGCUGAUUCAUUGGAGAUGAAAAAACUUAUUGAAGUUCUUGAACAAGCAAGUCUCAAAAGUAUGGAUGACAAUGAUACAACAAAUGCAUCAACAACACAACAUCAACAACAACAUCAACACAGUAUUAAUAAAUUAGUUUAGAUAAACAAAAAACAAAACAACAUGGUGUACUUAUUAGAUAACAGGUAAGCAAAGAAGAAUUAUCAUUAAAUUCAUCAUCAACAAAAUGGCUAAUAAAGAUAUAGCUUGUAAAUUUACACCAACAUCAGUUAUUCAAAAAUUGAUACAUGGACAGGAAAAUGAGUCAAUGACAGGAUUUAUACAGUUAAAACAUUGUGUAACAGUUAACUAUUAUCAUUAUCAUCUUGGUUAUCAAGCCGAUAAACUCCCUGGUGAAAAUAAUUUCUCCGUAAAACUCCGUAAAAUUCCGGAAAACUCCGUAUCACUCCGGAAUUGGCCCAUUAAAAUUUUUCGGUCAUUUUUUUUCCUUCUCUUUACACAGGAAUUCGAGUAUUUUGGAAUUGCAACCGAUUUUUCGUAUUUUUUCGAAUUUUUUCUAAGUGAGCCAAUUCCGGAAUAAUCCGGAGUAAUCCGGAGAAACUCCGGAGAAAUUCCGGAGAAACUCCCGAGAAAUAUUUCCACCAGGGCUUACUAUACAAGUAUCAAAUAACACAAAAGGAGGACUUUUUCGUAUAACAUUUUUUGGAAAAAACGCUUGGAAAUGGUCAAAAAUAUUAGACACUAAUAUGAUGGAAAAGUUCAAGUUGUAUACCUGGAUGAAAUGGAAUCUCCUCCUGCCUCUCCUGACCGGGCUUCUCCACCUCCUCCUCCUUCCUGUCCACCUCCGUCUCUUCAUCAGGAUCCACCUGAAGUUAUAAUCCUGGAUGAAAUGGAAUCUCCUCGCCAGGCUUCUCCACCUCUUUCUCCCUCACUUGGUAUGAUUGAUGUACGUAUUUGUGACGUUGUCAAUUACUUGAAUAAAAACCAGCUAGAAAUCAAAGACGAUAUUCUUGACGAAUUAAAAAAGAAUAACAAAGUUCUUUUAGAGAUUUAAAAAAAAGUAACAGUUGAACCAUUACCAUCAUCAUCACCAACUAUACCAUCAUCAUCACCAACUUUACCAUCAACAUCAUCAUCAACAUCAUCAUCAACAUCAUCAUCAUCAUCAUCAUCAUCAUCAACUAUACGACCAAAAUUUACUGGUAAUAAAUGUGGAAAAUCUUAUUCGAAUCGUUGGAAUCUGGAGCGGCAUCAAAAAACGGCUCGAAUUUGCAGUGCAGCAUCAACAACAGUUCAAUGUGAACACUGUGCAAUAAGUGUAUCACGAUUUGACUUGCUAAAAAGACAUUAUAUAAUAGCAGUUGCAAAAAAAGACACAUUUAACUGAUGCUGCUGAACACCAUGGAAAACAAAAUAAUUCACAUACAACAUUCAUUAAACAAACAACAACAAUAUCCAUUAACUUUUUUUAAUUUACGUUUUUUUUUAACAAUUAUUAAUUCUAAUAUGUGUGUUUCCAUAAAUACUAAUAUAUAAACAAGAUAUUGGUGAUGAAACAAAAGAAAAAAUUAUAUUACUAAAAGCAACAUCAUGGCGUUAUAGAACUGGUCAAUAUCAUCGUAAUUAUAAAUUACAUAAUUUAGGAUAUGAUAAACUUGAAAUAUCCCUGGUAAAAU
Molecule: RNA transcript, 3976 nt
Organism: Aphidius gifuensis
Lineage: Eukaryota; Metazoa; Arthropoda; Insecta; Hymenoptera; Braconidae
Gene: CenG1A
Gene name: centaurin-gamma-1A
Exons: 7
Source: RefSeq, a predicted model, not a curated record